AAGUCGUAACAAGGUUUCCGUAGGUGAACCUGCGGAAGGAUCAUUGUCGAAGCCUGCAAAGCAGAACGACCCGCGAACAUGUUAAAACAAUCAUGCCAGGAUGUAUUGAGCAUCCGUUUGAUCGUCCUGGCAUACCGUUGAUGUGCCUGCCUCGUUGGCCCAGUGGGUCAUCUUGGUGGUCGCUUUGACGUAACAAAACCCAGGCACGGGAUGUGCCAAGGAACUUUAAACUGAAGAAUUGCCCAUCCCAAUGAAGUCCCGUUCGCGGUGUGCUCAUGGGGUGUGGCAUCUUUGUAAUCACAAACGACUCUCGGCAACGGAUAUCUCGGCUCACGCAUCGAUGAAGAACGUAGCAAAAUGCGAUACUUGGUGUGAAUUGCAGAAUCCCGUGAACCAUCGAGUUUUUGAACGCAAGUUGCGCCCGAAGCCAUUCGGCUGAGGGCACGUCUGCCUGGGCGUCACGCAUCGCGUCGCUCCCCCACCAUUUCCUUUUGGAUUGUUGGCUGGGAGCGGAUAUUGGCCUCCCGUUUUAACCGAGUGGUUGGCCAAAAUAAAAGCACCUCUUGACGGGCGCAAGACUAUUGGUGACAAAACCAUGAAUUUCGUUGCGUGUCUCGUCAAAAGGUUGCUUGUUAUCGACCCAACGCGUUGUCUUUUGAUGACGCUCGACCGCGACCCCAGGUCAGGCGGGACUACCCGCUGAGUUUAA
Molecule: ribosomal RNA, 709 nt
Filed under: Erigeron annuus
Lineage: Eukaryota; Viridiplantae; Streptophyta; Magnoliopsida; Asterales; Asteraceae
Description: eukaryotic LSU rRNA
Rfam family: 5.8S ribosomal RNA (bases 306-461)
Source: RNAcentral